UUUCAUAUAAAAUCAUCAGAUUUGAUAGCAAUUGGUACUCUCACUUUCCCUUCUCUUAUGGCCAACAAAUCCACAUUAUCACCAUAUAAGUAAGCUUUCAAGAAUGCAACCAUAACUCCUCCAACAAACGUUCUCAUAGGUUUCCUUGAUUCACCAUUCUUACAUAAACAAUAAGUAAGUUUCCCUCUAAAACCUGGGGUAUAAUCAUCCAACAUGUCAAAAUGACCAUAAUCCUUAGCCAAAAAAUACCAAGAAGGUUUCUCACAUUCACUAAAAAAAUCCUCAUGAUUGAUGCCUUUAGGUGCACAAGGAGGAAACAAAAGGUUCUUUCUCACAUCACCUAAACUAGAACCAAUAACCAAUGUUGGCAUAUCAAAAUCAAAUGAAUGAGGAACAUAGGUGAGAAUUGGUGGUGAUGUUUGUAUUCCUUCACCUAAUCCAUCUACUGGAUCAAUUCCAAGUAUGGCUGAAAAUUUUAGAUCAAUUGUGAUGUUUAAUUUUCUUAGAGCAAUAGCAAAUGAUGUUUUUCCGCCGCGACUAUGGCCUCCAAGUGCUAACUUGUUAAAAUUUGGUGUUAUGUUUGGUGGAAGAAACUUGUUUAGUCCUUCAGAUAGCCAACUUGUUAUUGCAGCUACUGAGUAAAUAUCAUCGUAUAUAUCUGGUCCAGUCACUAUAUACAACUGAGAAAAACAAAAGUUAAACCAAAAUAUAAUUGUUUGAAAAAAUGUGGUUGCAAGUAUUAGUAUUUUAUAAGCAUUAUUCAAAUACUAUUUGUAUUAACAUUGCAUGAAACUAUAAACCAUGAAACAUGUCAACAAGAAAAUACAUUUUUAUAAAUAUAUAAUCUAACAUUUAUAACGUCUUAGUUACUACAAUUUAUCUUUAUAUAUUAGUAGAAAAAUAUGAUCAAAACAUGUUACGUGAAUAAUGCACAUUUUUAAAAUAGGUCAUUUAAAAUAGCAAAGAUGGAGUAUUACAAUUUAUAUGCUAACAUUUGAGUGGUGAUAUACUUUGAUCUAUUUUCAUUUUCAUAUAUGAUGGUGAUUUGCUUUUAAUCCUCAUAAUAUUAGUAUGCUCCUAACAAGUCUUUUAAUGAUUAUAUGUCAUUGAUUCACAUCCUUGCCAGAUGGUCUUUAUAAAGAUGAAUUAUUCUAGAAGUGCUUCUUGUAAACAAGAUGAUACUUACAUAUUAAAAUGUCAGGUGGGGAUUAAUUACCUGAGGAGCAAUGACAAUGAAGCCAUGAGAAGCCACAUGUUGGAUAAGCUGAGAAUAAAAUGAGUUGUAGAGAAGAUAUGCAUGUAGGAAAAGUAGAAGUGGAAAUUCUCCACCUUCAAUAGGUGUGGCAAUCAAAAGAGAUCUUGGUGGUGGAACUGAUCAACAUAUAAAAAAAUUAGUAGUAUACAUGAACUAUAUGAGAGAAAAAUAUCCAAAAACAAUUAUAGUUAAUUAAUAGAAAAGUUAAUUAAAGUAGUACCAUAUUGUGUAUAUGAACCAGAGCCAACCAUUUGUAGUUGUGUGGUGUAUUUUCCGGUCUCAAAGACAUUAGUAACAAAAGAAGACAUACUUGAUGGUUGAGCUUAGUGUUGCUUGUGGCUGAAUAAUAUAUGAUGAUCUGGUGUGGCAUUUAUAUAUUCUUGUUUAAUUGUAUAUUUUGUUUUUUUUUAUUACUUUUUGAAUAGAAUGUAAAGUGAUCUUGGUGAUUAAUUUGUUUUGGUCAAUAUGUUAGUGAUAUUAAAUACAUUCUAUGUUCACUAUUAUAAAAAAAUAAUCAGAUUUAUCGAAUAAAUGAUGUAUCUAAUCUAUAUUAUAGAUCAAAUAUAUCAGUUAUUCCAUAAAUCUAAAAAUAAAAUUGUUUAUAAUAAUGAUCGGAGUUUAUACAUUUUUAUGUUGGUUUAUAGCACUAUUUCCGUCUCACUAUAUGUGUCACAUUUGAGUUUUAUAUGGUUAUUAAGGAAAUGAUUAAUAGUGUUGAUUUUAAUGGUAAAAUAUGUAUUAUUUACUAAAAAAACUUUUAUUAAAUAUAGUUAGUAGAAAAAUAUAAUAAAUGUUAUAUUGUUAUUAUAAAAAAGAUAGAUAAUUUAAAAAAAAAAAAAAAAAAAAGAGCACCUAUUGUAAGAAGAUUUUGGAGGCCAUGAAUGAAUGCCUAAGUAGAAUAUACAGAUGUCACCCAAUUUCAUUAAUAUUAGGACCUAAUUUUUACAUGUGUAAAUUGGGAACCGAGAAUGUUAGAGAUUUGAGCCUGAAAAUAAAUACAACAACAUGAAUUGAAUUGUUAUAAAAGCAAGUUGUUGGGUUUGACAUUAAUAUUUUGUUUUGUUUGUAGAUAAAAUGACAAUCAGUAUUUGAAACUCACACAAUGAAAAUUAUGGAAAUGUUAAAGAGUGUUCUUAGGACAUCGAUUAAGAGCACAAGAAUUAAAAUAUUGUAUUGAGAAAUGGUGAAAAGUAAUAAAGUUGAUUUUUUAAAAGUUAAAAAAUUAUUGAAUUCAAUGCAAACUUACUAAUUUGAUAUUCUUAACAAGUGUCUGAGGACAUCCGUUAACAUAACCUUUAAAAUUAAAUGAAAUAAAGUAAAAAUAUGCACAUUAUGGUUUCAAGUUCUCUCUACAAGCUACGCUGGAUUGGAUAGUAUAAUAUUUAGCUAGAAUAUUUUAUAACAUAAAUUAUUUCCAUAAGAAAUUUCAAACGCUUGAAUUUAAUGGUUAAUAAAUUUCAGAUAAGGAAGAAUCGAUCAAAACAGUAUGAAUUUAAAUUUUAGCUAAAAUAAUUUUUGAUCAAAUAUAACUUUGUUAUUAUUGUAUUCUAGAUUACUAGAACUCUUGAGAAUCGGAAAGUCAAGAAAGAAAAGUAAAAUAAAAUUAUAAGUUUUAUAUGUUUAUAUCAAAGUAUCCCCUUAAUUUGUAAUGGAUGCACAAACAUAUUUCUAGUAUUUUAUAUGUGAUGACAAAUGCUAAAAGUAUGUUGCCUAAGAAAUUAUAUAAUGAUUAUUAUUUUUUAGAGUUAAAUAUAUUUUUAAUCGUUCUAAAUAUAUUAACUUUUAUUUCUACUUCUUUUAAAAAUUUAUUUCAAACAUUGAUUUCUCUAAAUUACACUUACAAAUUUUAGUUUCUUCUUAGAAAUUUUAGUUUCUUCUUUUUAACAUAAGUUUAGUGACAUAUUUAUAGCGACUUUGUUUAUGUUAUGUCACUAUUGAAAUUUUAAAAUAUUAUUCGCUUAAUGAGUUCAAUAUUUAAUCUUUAACUUCAUAUUUUAAUCUUUAAUUUGACUUUACGGAUAAAUUAAUAAUGAAUAACUAGUUAAAUUAUUAAAUUAAUGAUAUUUGAAAGUCUUAACAAUGACAUGUCAUCAAAAAAAUGCUUGGAACAUAUCACGAGAACUUUUGUUAAAAUAAAGGGAUUAAAUUUGGUAAUAGAAAAACUAGAAGGAACAAAGUUUAAAAAAAAAAAAAAAAAACGAAAAAUGAAAAUUGAUAUAUUUUGCAUGUGUCGUGAUCACUACAAAAUCAUAUUUAAAGAUGUGUGUAGGCUUUUGUCAGGGGUAGAUGGGUUUUAAAUAUGGAGGAUAACUCUUGUUGUAAUUGAUAGGUACUCCAUCCGGUUCUAAAUAUAAUAAAAUAUAUUUUUUCUAUGUUCAUUGAAUAAUUUGUGUAUCUUUUUAUUAGGGAAAUAACUCAUGGAUUUAUAGAUCAGAUACAUCAAUUAUUUAAUGAACAUGAAAAAGAAUAAUUUUUUAUAUUUAGGAUCAGAUAGAGUACCAUAUAGCAACCAAAUAUGUCUUCUUUUUGCAUUUGUUGUUGUUGAAUUGAAAAGCAUAUAUAGUUAGAGGUGAUUUCUUACCAUCUUAUUAAGGACGUUGUGGUUUUAUUUGAGGUUUUCUUUUUUUUUUUUUCUGGAAAAUUUUGUUCAACUUCAAAAAAUUUGUUAAAAUUGCAAAACUUAUCCAUAUUCGAUCAAAUUUACCUUUAGUCUAAACGUACACCUAAAGUUAAAGAAAAGUGGAUUCUCACGGAAGAACAAAACGAAAAACAAUGAAGAGAGUUUUCGUUUUUGUAAAAAAAAAAAUGUAGUAAUAAAGUUUGAUUGGAGGUUGAAAUUGACAAAUCAAAAUAAUAUUGUAGUUAUCUUAAGAAUAAUUUAUGUGUAUUAAUAUAAUAUAAUAUAAUAUUAUAAUAAUAAUAAUAUGAUGAUGAUGAUUAAAUUUGUUUGUAAUUAAAAAUAACUAUCAUGUUAGCUGAAUCCGUAGAUAGGUGAUUUAGGAAUAUGUGAGUUUCACACUACCUGAUGAAAAGUUAGGCGAAUACUAGUUCGAUCAAAUAAGGGUUAGCUGAUUUUUUUUCUCUCGUCCACUAUAUAGGAUGUUGGUCUUGAAAACAUAAGAUUUAGUCAAACCUUAGUAUAAUUUGACAAUGAGGCACUCAACCCAUGCUUCAUGUUUAUAGUGCCUCUAACCUUAAGGAGCAAUAGGCAAGGAUACAUAUUUUAAAGGAGGUUGCGCACAAUGCAAGUGUUGAACCAUGGUCAAAUAACCAAAAUCCAAUGAUUUAAACAACUAUGCCUACAACUGACAAGUCCGAAUAUGUUCAAAACAAAUACAUAUACAUUAAGCAAAUGGCCCUCUCAUUGAUUUAUUUCUGACUCCGCCACUGUAUGAACCUUUGCAUUAGUAUAAAGUUAGGUGUACCUUGUUAUCCCAAUUUAAUAAAAAAAAAUAAAAAAUCCUUUUGUAAGACUUUGAUUCAAUUAAAAUGUUUGCCUUGCACUUUUUAAUCAAAAUAUUUUGUGGUCUCGGGUGUUCAUGCAAAGCUUUUUGAUUCGAUUCAAAUGUCUGCCUUGCAAAAUUUGAAUCGACUCAUUGUGACCUUCGGAUGUCUAUUUCUUGUUUAUUGAAUCAUAUCAAAACUUUUUGAAUAGUAUCACUUCAGGAAACACUGAAUCGAUUCAAUUUUUUCUUGAUUCAAUUCAUUCUUCAUCUAGAAUUGCCUAAAAUCGAUUCUUUUUUUUUUUGUUGUCUAUUAUGUCAAUCUUCAUGUCAACCCAACAUCUUUAUUUUGCACUAUUGAAUCGAUUCAAGCUUUUCUUGAUUUGAUUCAAACACAUUUUUUUUUAGUUAUAUUUUUAGCCUAACUUACUCCUAUCUCAUUACCCUAUAUAUACUUGCAUUCACUCAUUUUCUCAUUUUCUCAUUUAUAGAAUUGAUUUGCAAAAACACUCUAAAGUCUCCCACACCUCUCUUUCUCUCUCUCAUCCUAGCUCCCUCUUCUCUUAUGCAUUGUAAAACUGGUAUUAACAAGUUAGUAGUGUUUUUUGUGUGAUAAGAUAAUCUUAAAAUAUUUAGGACCAGUUAGAAAUUUCAAAGUUAGGAUAGAUUUAGCGUGUUAAGAUAAACUUAAAGAAUCUUUGACGAUGUUUGCCAACAAUCAUUUUAACUUAGUUUUCAGCGGUCUUGAAAAAGAUGUUUGAAACGAAAAAUAUUUUGAAGAUUUAUUUGUAGAGUAAAAAAAAAAUUGUUUUAAACUCUUUAAGAUCUCUUUGGAAAACUAAAAGUAUUUAAUAAAAAUGUUUUAUUAGUUUUGAACUUAAAAGUAUUUAAUAGAAAGUCUUACAUUGUAUUAAAAAUCUAUCUAUAAGUGUAUUUGAGUCUUCACAUUUACCAUGAUGAUCCUCUCUUACUCAAACAUCAUGAAAGUAAAAAUGACACCAUUUAUAUCUUGCAAAAACUCUUUAAAUAUAAAAAAAGUUAAAAAAUAUUUCUAUAUUUUUAAUUUGAAAUUAACUAAAAUGAAAGUAAAAUAACACCAUUCACAUCUUGAAACAUAAAGUUCUUAUAUACAUGUAAAAUGUGUAGAGAUGGUUAUUGCCUCAUUAGUUGAUUUACAUCAUCUUCUCUUAUUUUCAUACAAAAUAAUCAAAUUUCAUCUCAAUGGGUACACUCAAAUUUUUGUCUCUUAUAGCCAAUAAGUCCACAUUAUCACCAUGCAAAUAAGCUUUCAAGAAUGCAACCAUAACUCCUCCAACAAACAUCCUCAUAGGUUUCCUUGAUUCACCAUUCUUACAUAAACAAUAACUAACUUUCCCUCUAACUCCUUUAGUAUCAUCAUCCAACAUAUCAACAUGACCAUAAUCCUUAGCCACAAAAUACCAAGAAGGUUUCUCACAUUCACUAAAAAAAUCC
RNAcentral lists this long non-coding RNA (6171 nucleotides) under Medicago truncatula (barrel medic). RNAcentral's name for it is "long non-coding RNA (MTRU_LNC001399)". Lineage: Eukaryota; Viridiplantae; Streptophyta; Magnoliopsida; Fabales; Fabaceae. The record is from RNAcentral.